This 367-nucleotide ribosomal RNA is filed under the name uncultured organism. RNAcentral's name for it is "bacterial LSU rRNA". It matches the Rfam family "Bacterial large subunit ribosomal RNA", at positions 2099 to 2465 of the family's 2925-position model. The record is from RNAcentral.
CUUUACUAUAACCUGGUAUUGUUGCUUGAUUUUUAAUACGUAGAAUAGGUGGGAGACUAUGAAGCUUUUCUUCAGGGAAAAGCAGAGUCGACAGUGAAAUACCACUUUUUAAUCAUUAGGCAUCUAACCUUGAUCCAUAAGCUGGAUAAGGAACAGUGCUAGGGGGCUAGUUUGACUGGGGCGGUCUCCUCCUAAAGUGUAACGGAGGGUUGCGAAGGUUUCCUCAAGCUGGUUGGCAACCAGCUGGCGAGCGUAUGGGUAUAAGGAAGCUUUACUGUAAGACAUACAAGUCGAGCAGUUACGAAAGUAGGCCCAAGUGAUCCGGUAGUUGGAAGUGGAACUGCUACCGCUUAAAGGAUAAAAGCUA